CAGCAGCCGCGGUAAUACAUAGGGUGCGAGCGUUAAUCGGAAUUACUGGGCGUAAAGCGUGCGCAGGCGGUUCGUUAAGACAGAUGUGAAAUCCCCGGGCUUAACCUGGGAACUGCAUUUGUGACUGGCAAGCUAGAGUAUGGCAGAGGGGGGUGGAAUUCCGCGUGUAGCAGUGAAAUGCGUAGAUAUGCGGAGGAACACCGAUGGCGAAGGCAGCCCCCUGGGCCAAUACUGACGCUCAUGCACGAAAGCGUGGGGAGCAAACAGGAUUAGAUACCCCCGUAGUCCCUGUCUCUUAUAC
This 301-nucleotide ribosomal RNA is filed under the name uncultured bacterium. RNAcentral describes it as "partial 16S ribosomal RNA". It matches the Rfam family "Bacterial small subunit ribosomal RNA", at positions 509 to 807 of the family's 1533-position model. The record is from RNAcentral.